RNAcentral lists this ribosomal RNA (867 nucleotides) under uncultured bacterium. RNAcentral describes it as "bacterial SSU rRNA". It matches the Rfam family "Bacterial small subunit ribosomal RNA", at positions 53 to 919 of the family's 1533-position model. The record is from RNAcentral.
ACAUGCAAGUCGAGGGGCAGCAGGGAUAGCAAUAUUCGCUGGCGACCGGCGCACGGGUGCGUAACACGUAUACAAUCUGCCUUUUACUGGGGGGUAGCCUUUCGAAAGAGAGAUUAAUACCCCAUAAUAGAUUUCUCGGCAUCGAGAGAUUUUGAAAGUUCCGACGGUAAGAGAUGAGUAUGCGUCUGAUUAGCUAGUAGGUGAGGUAACGGCUCACCUAGGCCACGAUCAGUAGGGGAUCUGAGAGGACUAACCCCCACACGGAUACUGAGACACGGAUCCGACUCCUACGGGAGGCAGCAGUAAGGAAUAUUGGACAAUGCCCGCAAGGGUGAUCCAGCCAUGCCGCGUGCAGGAAGACGGCCCUAUGGGUUGUAAACUGCUUUUAUACAAGAGAAAACCCAUCUACGUGUAGAUGGCUGAUAGUAUUGUAGGAAUAAGCAUCGGCUAACUUCGUGCCAGCAGCCGCGGUAAGACGAAGGAUGCAAGCGUUAUCCGGAUUCAUUGGGUUUAAAGGGAGCGUAGGCGGUCUUAUAAGUCAGUGGUGAAAGCUCCUCGCUUAACGAGGAAAUUGCCAUUGAUACUGUAGGACUUGAGUACAGUUGCCGUUGGCGGAAUAUGACAUGUAGUGGUGAAAUACAUAGAGAUGUCAUAGAACACCGAUUGCGAAGGCAGCUAACGAAACUGUAACUGACGCUGAGGCUCGAAAGUGCGGGGAUCAAACAGGAUUAGAUACCCUGGUAGUCCGCACUGUAAACGAUGAUUACUCGCUGCUAGAGGGCAACUUUUAGUGGCUUAGCGAAAGCGAUAAGUAAUCCACCUGGGGAGUACGCCGGCAACGGUGAAACUCAAAGGAAUUGACGGGGG